This 496-nucleotide ribosomal RNA is filed under the name uncultured bacterium. RNAcentral describes it as "partial 16S ribosomal RNA". It matches the Rfam family "Bacterial small subunit ribosomal RNA", at positions 28 to 507 of the family's 1533-position model. The record is from RNAcentral.
GAUGAACGCUGGCGGCGUGCCUAAUACAUGCAAGUCGAGCGAACAGACGAGGAGCUUGCUCCUCUGACGUAGCGGCGGACGGGUGAGUAACACGUGGAUAACCUACCUAUAAGACUGGGAUAACUUCGGGAAACCGGAGCUAAUACCGGAUAAUAUAUUGAACCGCAUGGUUCAAUAGUGAAAGACGGUUUUGCUGUCACUUAUAGAUGGAUCCGCGCCGCAUUAGCUAGUUGGUAAGGUAACGGCUUACCAAGGCAACGAUGCGUAGCCGACCUGAGAGGGUGAUCGGCCACACUGGAACUGAGACACGGUCCAGACUCCUACGGGAGGCAGCAGUAGGGAAUCUUCCGCAAUGGGCGAAAGCUUGACGGAGCAACGCCGCGUGAGUGAUGAAGGUCUUCGGAUCGUAAAACUCUGUUAUUAGGGAAGAACAAAUGUGUAAGUAACUAUGCACGUCUUGACGGUACCUAAUAAGAAAGCCACGGCUAACUACGUG